CAUUAUAUAACUUAAGUUUAAAGUAUUGAUCUCUUAAAUCAUAAAUAAUAUAAAAUAUUUAUAAUGA
Molecule: transfer RNA, 67 nt
Filed under: Idris sp.
Lineage: Eukaryota; Metazoa; Arthropoda; Insecta; Hymenoptera; Scelionidae
Description: tRNA-Lys
Rfam family: tRNA
About the family: Transfer RNA (tRNA) molecules are approximately 80 nucleotides in length. Their secondary structure includes four short double-helical elements and three loops (D, anti-codon, and T loops).
Source: RNAcentral